This 936-nucleotide unclassified non-coding RNA is filed under the name Hevea brasiliensis (rubber tree). Lineage: Eukaryota; Viridiplantae; Streptophyta; Magnoliopsida; Malpighiales; Euphorbiaceae. The record is from RNAcentral.
UUAUUGUAAUUUAAUUAGGAUUAAAAAAAGACACUUUGGUUUGUUAGGAUAACUUUUUUAACUUGGAAUUUCGGUCAUUUUAGCUGUUGCCUACCAUCCAAAGGUUUGCAGGUGAAACCCAAAGUAUUUUGCUUGGCAAUUGAAAAACAUUGAUCAAGAAAGCUGGCUCAUCAGUAAUAUCUCUUGUAUGUAUGGUGUAGUGUUAAUUGGAGCAAGAAACAAUGAAGGAAAGAUUGGAGAAAGUUUAGUUUGAAAAGGACUUUUCAUAGAAUAAUAAAAAAAGGGAUUUGUGGAGCGAAUCCUGACUUAGUUUAAGACUGACUUGUAAUUGAGUGAAGUUGAUAGUGAAAUUUAAUAUGCUGCGUGGAGAGUUUGUGUUCCACAUAAUCAUUCUGCAAUUGCAAUUGCAAAUGCAAAUUGGGGAUGCUUGUUAUUUUUAAUCCUUGAGAUUUGGCAACAUAAUUUAUUUUAUUUCUUGCUACUGUAUGAUUUAUUUACUUCUUUGUACUCGUCUUUGUUAUUGAACUUCUGUCUAAAUUAGCUCUUAUUUUUAAUAAGAACAUUGGCUUAAAUAUAAGCUUUUUCCUUGUUUCCCUGGAAAAUAAUGUGGUAACUUAGAUGCUGGAUAACACCUACCCUUUUACUUGUAAUGGUUUCAUGGACUUAGAUUAUUUGGCUGGUUAAUGAUUAAGCAUGAGAUUUACUAAGUGCAUAUGAUAGGUCAAUAAAACAUCCCAAGGAGAAGCAUUUACAUCUUCAUGCAUGCCUUAACUAUCUUAGGGCCUGUCGGAGAACGUUGUGUUAGUGGUAUAAAAUCGCUUUUUGGAAGUUUAGAAUAAGUUUAAAAUGCUGCUUAGACUGAUGCUAGUUUUUAAGUUUGCAUAAUAUCUUACAGUUGUGAGCAUGGAUAUGCAGGGUUGUUGAAAUGGAGAGUCA